CGCGUAUACAAUCUGCCUUUAAGCGGGGAAUAUCCCAUGGAAACGUGGAUUAAUACCCCAUAGUAUGUAGACUUCACCUGGAGACUACAUUAAACAUUUAUGGCUUAAAGAUGAGUAUGCGUCCUAUUAGUUAGUUGGUAAGGUAACGGCUUACCAAGACCGCGAUAGGUAGGGGUCCUGAGAGGGAGAUCCCCCACACUGGUACUGAGACACGGACCAGACUCCUACGGGAGGCAGCAGUGAGGAAUAUUGGACAAUGGAGGCAACUCUGAUCCAGCCAUGCCGCGUGCAGGAAGACGGCCCUAUGGGUUGUAAACUGCUUUUAUACGGGAAGAACCACAUCUACGUGUAGAUGCUUGACGGUACCGUAUGAAUAAGGACCGGCUAACUCCGUGCCAGCAGCCGCGGUAAUACGGAGGGUCCAAGCGUUAUCCGGAAUCAUUGGGUUUAAAGGGUCCGUAGGCGGAAUAAUAAGUCAGUGGUGAAAGUCUGCAGCUCAACUGUAGAAUUGCCAUUGAUACUGUUAUUCUUGAAUUAUUAUGAAGUGGUUGGAAUGAGUAGUGUAGCGGUGAAAUGCAUAGAUAUUACUCAGAACACCUAUUGCGAAGGCAGAUCACUAAUAAUAUAUUGACGCUGAGGGACGAAAGCGUAGGUAGCGAACAGGAUUAGAUACCCUGGUAGUCUACGCCGUAAACGAUGGUUACUAGCUGUCCGGCCUAAUUGAGGGCUGGGUGGUUAAGCGAAAGUGAUAAGUAACCCACCUGGGGAGUACGUUCGCAAGAAUGAAACUCAAGGG
RNAcentral lists this ribosomal RNA (796 nucleotides) under Gramella sp. TBL_102. RNAcentral's name for it is "bacterial SSU rRNA". It matches the Rfam family "Bacterial small subunit ribosomal RNA", at positions 114 to 907 of the family's 1533-position model. Lineage: Bacteria; Pseudomonadati; Bacteroidota; Flavobacteriia; Flavobacteriales; Flavobacteriaceae. The record is from RNAcentral.